RNAcentral lists this microRNA (21 nucleotides) under Picea abies (Norway spruce). RNAcentral's name for it is "pab-miR3694". Lineage: Eukaryota; Viridiplantae; Streptophyta; Pinopsida; Pinales; Pinaceae. The record is from miRBase by way of RNAcentral.
AUUAAGGGUGCGGGUGCGGCU